CAAUAGCGUAUAUUAAAGUUGUUGCAGUUAAAAAGCUCGUAGUUGGAUUUCUGGUUGAAGCGACCGGUCGGGCGUUGAUUCGUCUGCACUGGAGUCGGUUUUGGCCAUCCUCUAGGAAAGUGCGUCUGGUAUUAAGUUAUCGGGCGUAUGAUCCUGGUCUUUUACUGUGAAAAAAUUAGAGUGUUUAAAGCAGGCCUUCGCCUUGAAUACAUUAGCAUGGAAUAAUAAGAUAGGACUUUGGUCUAUUUUGUUGGUUUGCAGACCGAAGUAAUGAUUAAUAGGGAUAGUUGGGGGUAUUUAUACUCCGAUGUCAGAGGUGAAAUUCUUAGAUUUUCGGAAGAUAAACUUAUGCGAAAGCAUUUACCAAGGAUGUUUNCAUUAA
Molecule: ribosomal RNA, 382 nt
Filed under: uncultured eukaryote
Lineage: Eukaryota
Description: partial 18S ribosomal RNA
Rfam family: Eukaryotic small subunit ribosomal RNA
Source: RNAcentral